This 190-nucleotide non-coding RNA is filed under the name unclassified sequences. The record is from Rfam.
ACCAGAGUCCCGCGAGGUCAAGGCCUCGGAGAGCGUGUCUUGUAAAUUCAGUAACCCACUGGCGGUGUAAAAACGGUCGUGGCCGGUAUCCGAAUUCCGGGCCGCGUUGCUGUCAGUAAUGAAAAACCAAUUUGUGGCAGGGUUGCCUCCAAGGCUCCCCUUUCACAUUUAGCAAGUGGUUACUUCUUAU